CUUUAUCAGGGGGAUAGCCUUUCGAAAGGAAGAUUAAUACCCCAUAAUAUGAGAGACGGCAUCGUUUUUUAUUGAAAACUGAGGUGGAUAGAGAUGGGCACGCGCAAGAUUAGAUAGUUGGUGAGGUAACGGCUCACCAAGUCGAUGAUCUUUAGGGGGCCUGAGAGGGUGAUCCCCCACACUGGUACUGAGACACGGACCAGACUCCUACGGGAGGCAGCAGUGAGGAAUAUUGGACAAUGGGUUAGCGCCUGAUCCAGCCAUCCCGCGUGAAGGACGACGGCCCUAUGGGUUGUAAACUUCUUUUGUACAGGGAUAAACCUACUCUCGUGAGAGUAGCUGAAGGUACUGUACGAAUAAGCACCGGCUAACUCCGUGCCAGCAGCCGCGGUAAUACGGAGGGUACAAGCGUUAUCCGGAUUUAUUGGGUUUAAAGGGUCCGUAGGCGGACUCGUAAGUCAGUGGUGAAAUCUCACAGCUCAACUGUGAA
Molecule: ribosomal RNA, 490 nt
Filed under: uncultured Bacteroidota bacterium
Lineage: Bacteria; Pseudomonadati; Bacteroidota
Description: bacterial SSU rRNA
Rfam family: Bacterial small subunit ribosomal RNA
Source: RNAcentral